RNAcentral lists this ribosomal RNA (60 nucleotides) under Pleurozium schreberi. Its description in RNAcentral is "partial 26S ribosomal RNA". RNAcentral also lists the same sequence under 8 other names. Lineage: Eukaryota; Viridiplantae; Streptophyta; Bryopsida; Hypnales; Hylocomiaceae. The record is from RNAcentral.
CAGACCUCUAAUCGGAAAAGACUACCCGCUGAGUUUAAGCAUAUCAAUAGCCGGGAGGAA